UACGAAGGGUGCAAGCGUUGUUCGGAAUUACUGGGCGUAAAGGGCAUGUAGGCUGAUAAAUUAGUUAGGGGUGAAAUCCCGGGGCUCAACCUCGGAAUUGCCUUUAAUACGGUUUAUCUAGAGUGUUAGAGGGGAUAAUGGAAUACCCAGUGUAGAGGUGGAAUUCGUAGAUAUUGGGUAGAACACCAGUGGCGAAAGCGAUUAUCUGGCUAACAACUGACGCUGAGAUGCGAAAGCGUGGGGAUCAAAC
RNAcentral lists this ribosomal RNA (250 nucleotides) under uncultured prokaryote. RNAcentral describes it as "partial 16S ribosomal RNA". It matches the Rfam family "Bacterial small subunit ribosomal RNA", at positions 524 to 773 of the family's 1533-position model. The record is from RNAcentral.